CAUCGAAAUUAGCCGAAUUCCGCUAUGCGGAAACGGGGGACCCACGUUUUUCGGGGUGAAUGGCAGCCGCUUGCCGGCCGCCUAGGGCAAUCCUUUCGACCGAACCCAUCAGCUAACCUCGUAGGCUCAGGAAAGGAGCAGU
RNAcentral lists this small RNA (142 nucleotides) under Bacillus sp. (in: firmicutes). Its description in RNAcentral is "Bacillus sp. c-di-AMP sequence". It matches the Rfam family "c-di-AMP riboswitch aptamer (ydaO/yuaA leader)". Rfam says of the family: This family represents a conserved RNA structure found upstream of the ydaO and yuaA genes in Bacillus subtilis and related genes in other bacteria. The ydaO/yuaA element is thought to act as a genetic "off" switch for the ydaO and yuaA genes in its native state. It is believed that the element may be triggered during osmotic shock leading to activation of ydaO, a predicted amino acid transporter gene, and members of the yuaA-yubG operon which code for KtrA and KtrB K+ transporters. RNAcentral also lists the same sequence under 1 other name. The record is from RNAcentral. Lineage: Bacteria; Bacillati; Bacillota; Bacilli; Caryophanales; Bacillaceae.